CAGAAGGGAGAUGAAAACAAUAGAGUGGAAAAAAUAUUUGGGAGGUAAAACAGAAGAAUUUGGUGACUGACAGGCUAUGGUUGGUGGUGGAAGGCUGGAUAAGGAAUCCAAGUUCUUCACAGGUAAAAGGAGUGUCAAAGUGAGAAUUUGGGGUCAAUGUAACAAACACCUUCCUCACAAAGGAGAAAAAGUUGUGAUUUUGUUACUGGAAGUGUGAAAGCAGAGGCUGCAUGAUUUUUAGAGACGUAAUGAAGGAAACCACUACAUUUGUCUACUCUGAUUUGAGAUUCCUUAAGCCAGCCCAGAACACCCAGAGAUGCCGACGUGCCCAGAGAGUAACAAAUGUGAACCAACGUCACAAAGCCUCUUUGAUCCAAUGCAAGACAGCCUUCCUUUUCUGCUCCAAAUAUGCUGGGUUUCUCACUCCUGGCUCCAGCUCCCAUUCAGAAUGGUCCCUGUCUUUGUAUUUGAUAUUAACAUUUGCAUUCCCAGAAUUUGACUUCUUGUUCUCCUUCAGUCCUUUGGGCUGGGGCUAGUCCCGGUGGUUCUUUCCCCUCUGGAAAGUCCUUCAUAAAGUAUGAUGCAGUCUCAUGAGCCAGCACUUAAAUGGGAUUGUAUUGACACUACUAUAUAGUAGAUUGAUUUAGGUAACUUACAAAGUCCCUACUCAGUGUAAGGUUCUAUCAUUUUAUAGUUAGUAUUCCUUGCAUUUUACUGAAAAUAGUUUUCAAAUUCUUUUUUUUUUUUUCUUUUU
RNAcentral lists this long non-coding RNA (754 nucleotides) under Homo sapiens (human). Its description in RNAcentral is "HSALNT0024633". Lineage: Eukaryota; Metazoa; Chordata; Mammalia; Primates; Hominidae. The record is from RNAcentral.